AUUGAACGCUGGCGGCAGGCUUAACACAUGCAAGUCGAGCGCGCGGCGGACGGGUGAGUAAUGUCUGGGAACCUGCCUGAUGGAGGGGGAUAACUACUGGAAACGGUAGCUAAUACCGCAUACCAUCGGAUGUGCCCAGAUGGGAUUAGCUAUUAGGGGGGGGAAUGGCUCACCUAGGCGACGAUCCCUAGCGGGUCUGAGAGGAUGACCAGCGAAACUGGAACUGGGACACGGUCCAGACGCCUACGGGAGGCAGCAGUGGGGAAUAUUGCACAAUGGGCGCAAGCCGGAUGCAGCCAUGCCGCGUGUGUGAAGAAGGCCUUCGGGGUGUAAAGCACUUUCAGCGAGGAGGCGUUACUCGCAGAAGAAGCACCGGCUAACUCCGUGCCAGCAGCCGCGGUAAUAC
RNAcentral lists this ribosomal RNA (406 nucleotides) under uncultured bacterium. RNAcentral's name for it is "partial 16S ribosomal RNA". It matches the Rfam family "Bacterial small subunit ribosomal RNA", at positions 29 to 526 of the family's 1533-position model. The record is from RNAcentral.